Molecule: long non-coding RNA, 1162 nt
Filed under: Equus caballus (horse)
Lineage: Eukaryota; Metazoa; Chordata; Mammalia; Perissodactyla; Equidae
Description: lncRNA (ENSECAG00000049405.1)
Source: RNAcentral
AUGUGUGUCAUCCAUAAAGGCCCCUCCAGCGUUUCUGGUCUCUGGCUCUGUGAACAUUCUCAGAAUGUUCUGAAUGUUCUCAGAACAUUGGAAGGAAUAGGUGAUAGUGCAAGAAGUAGCAGCACAGGCCCAACUGACCAGGGACGCUUAAAGGCCGAGCUGGCCCUGGGAAAAAUGAUGAGUGACUUCUAUUUUUUGCUAUCAUUCCAAUUUCUCUCUUCAGCAGUGUCACUCCUGCCCAAGCUUCAGGGUCCUAGCAUAUUUUGUCCCCCUCACUUAAAUGUCAUUUUAUAAAAAGAUGUGCCUAACUCAUUUUUUCUAAAGAGUAUAUAUAACUGGUCAAGCUAAAUGUACUUGCCUUCAUGGGAGUGUCAACCUUUACUGCAAGACAAGGUCUUCAGCAGUCAAAGAUCCCUGUCUCAAGUUGUGGCAGAAUAUAUUUACCAAGAUGGCAUGAGGAAGAUCUCCCCUUCCGUGUGUUCCUGUGACGAUGUAACAGUGUAACAUCAACACUCCUCUCACUGAGAGGUGAGGUCUAUAUCCUCUCCACUGAUUCUAUUGGGUCACCUGAGACUAUGAAAGAAGUGGCACUACGUGACUUCUGAUGCUAGGUCAUAAAAAGCAAGAGUUCCCACCUGGUCCUGUUGGGACUUUCAUUCUCGGAGCCUAGCCACCAUGCAGCAAGGAAGCCUAACCCACAGGAGAGACCAUGUGUUGGUGCUCCAGCCAACAGUUCCUGCUGAGGUCCCAGCCAACAGCCAGCAUCAACCACCAACAAGAAGAAGAGCCCUAGGGAUCCUGAUAACCUAGAGUGACAUCAUGUUGAAAACCUGGAAUGUGAAAUCACCUAUCUUCAAGCUGUUAGGCACUAGGAGAAGGAGCUGGAGAGCUGGAGAUUAGCAAAAAGCUCAGCAGCCACAAAGACGGGUUGACUAGGAAAUACAGGGUAUUUAAAAUAAAUUUCAUGUAUGUACAUUGCAUUCAAGCUGCUCCUGCUUUAUUUUUGAGAUCUAAAUAUUUAUGAAAUGUUUAUCAAUAAACACUGGCAAUGUGUACUUUUUUAUCUGGUUACCUGGGAGUUCGAAUGAUCUUUUUCUUUAAAAGAUACCCAUCAUAUAUAUUUUAUAUACACGUAUGUAUCUUUGAUAUAUAGGAAUCAAAA